CAGUAGCCGCGGUAAUACAGAGGGUGCGAGCGUUAAUCGGAUUUACUGGGCGUAAAGCGUGCGUAGGCGGCUUCUUAAGUCGGAUGUGAAAUCCCUGAGCUUAACUUAGGAAUUGCAUUCGAUACUGGGAAGCUAGAGUAUGGGAGAGGAUGGUAGAAUUCCAGGUGUAGCGGUGAAAUGCGUAGAGAUCUGGAGGAAUACCGAUGGCGAAGGCAGCCAUCUGGCCUAAUACUGACGCUGAGGUACGAAAGCAUGGGGAGCAAACAGGAUUAGAUACCCCUGUAGUCCCUGACUCUUAUAC
RNAcentral lists this ribosomal RNA (301 nucleotides) under uncultured bacterium. RNAcentral describes it as "partial 16S ribosomal RNA". It matches the Rfam family "Bacterial small subunit ribosomal RNA", at positions 509 to 807 of the family's 1533-position model. The record is from RNAcentral.